This 147-nucleotide unclassified non-coding RNA is filed under the name uncultured fungus. RNAcentral describes it as "sequence contains ITS1". Lineage: Eukaryota; Fungi. The record is from RNAcentral.
UUAAACUAUGUUUUGGAUUCAGACACAGACUCUACAGCAUAAAUACGGCGCCGAAGCGCCGAAGCACGUUUCGCUUCCACAGGUUUGAAGGGUUGAAGGCCAAAAGGCCAUUCAGUAAUGAUCCCUCCGCAGGUUCACCUACGGAGA